Molecule: ribosomal RNA, 162 nt
Filed under: Bacillus sp. K2
Lineage: Bacteria; Bacillati; Bacillota; Bacilli; Caryophanales; Bacillaceae
Description: partial 16S ribosomal RNA
Rfam family: Bacterial small subunit ribosomal RNA
Source: RNAcentral
CGUACGGGAGGCAGCAGUAGGGAAUCUUCCGCAAUGGACGAAAGUCUGACGGAGCAACGCCGCGUGAGUGAGGAAGGCCUUCGGGUCGUAAAGCUCUGUUGUGAGGGAAGAAGCGGUACCGUUCGAAUAGGGCGGUACGUUGACGUACCUCACCAGAAAGCC